RNAcentral lists this unclassified non-coding RNA (345 nucleotides) under soil metagenome. RNAcentral's name for it is "partial contains 5.8S ribosomal RNA, internal transcribed spacer 2, and large subunit ribosomal RNA". The stretch from base 1 to 120 matches the Rfam family "5.8S ribosomal RNA", at positions 35 to 154 of the family's 154-position model. The record is from RNAcentral.
GAUGAAGAACGUAGCGAAAUGCGAUAAUUAAUGUGAAUUGCAGAUUUCAGUGAAUCAUCGAGUUUUUGAACGCACAUUGCGCCCCCUGGUAUUCCUAGGGGCAUGCCUAUUCGAGCGUCAUUAUCCUCCCUCAAACCCCGGGUUUGGUGUUGGACCGAAGUUGUGUGAACAACUGGUCUAAAAAACAAUGACGGCGUCCGUGGGACCCUCGGUGCAACGAGCUUUUAGGAGCACGCGCCGAGUUGCAAGGACCUUCCGGGCCGGUCUCCUUUUACUAUUUUACAAGGUUGACCUCGGAUCAGGUAGGAAUACCCGCUGAACUUAAGCAUAUCAAUAAGCGGAGGA